Long non-coding RNA from Cygnus olor (mute swan), 5840 nucleotides. RefSeq lists it as uncharacterized. The transcript is spliced from 2 exons. Lineage: Eukaryota; Metazoa; Chordata; Aves; Anseriformes; Anatidae. The record is from RefSeq and is a predicted model, not a curated record.
CCUGAAGAUGAAAUGACUGCUUAACAUUACACUAAAACAUCUGGUACCAUUUUAUACACAGACCCAUGUCUGAGAGCAGGCAAUUCUAGCGGUCUCACCAGCGGCACAGUGCAUACCCAAACCUCCCUAGGGUGACAUCAUCCCAUAUAUGGACUCUCAGGCCCAGCCCUCCCCCUUUUCCUGGUCCUAAAUUCAUUGCCAGAUCCCCAGUCUGCUGCAAAUGUGCCACGUCAAGACUGGAAAUCACAGCACUUCAGUGUGUUUCAGUUUUGCACACUAGGGAAUAAGAAACGCUAAGGGACACUGUGAAAAAGGAGGACUGCAGAAUAAUGCGGGGAAGACAUUCUGGUAAGGCCUACUUUGGAAGAACACCUGGCCUAUGACCUGGCGAACCUAGGUGACUCCCCCCCCCUUCCUCCAGUCAUCACUGCAAGAAAGAUGGAGCUCUGAUGAUUUACUAAAACCUAUGCAAGAAAUGAGCGAGGUAUACUACCUAGAGGUAUACUGCUUAGAGAAGUGUACAAGAGCAUAGUUAAAGUCGGGCAUUUCUUUUUUUUUUUUUUUAAUUUAAAAUAAAGCUUAUUUUUCCCCACAAACUAAAAAGGUAAAUUUAAUUUAUUUUUUUUUUUUUUAACUUGUAGCAAUCAGUAUAAAUAUUUAAGGAGUAUAUCUUUUUUUUUAACGCAGAAAAGGCUUGCUAGAAGUAUGUAUUCUGCAUAGCUCCUGUUAUGAACUAUGAUCUGAAGAUCAAUUUUAAGAAAUUAUUUUCUCUUAAAUUAAUAAAGUAAUAGAAAAGAAUGCAUGAAUAUUAUUUUAAACUAUUGUAAAAUAUAUAUAUAUAUAUCACUGCUGGGAGAACUGUACUUUGAUUUUACAUGCAACCGAAACUUCUUUGCAAGUAACCUAUGCUAAAUGUGCUAAUGAAAACUGGGGGGGAUGCCAUAGGGAAUAUAAGACUACUCCGUGCUUGGCUUCUGCUGUGUAGGAUACAAAAUAUUUGAUUGUAAGGAAAAAUUACCUCUGAAAGUGCAGGACGUGAUGGAAAAAAAACAAUAAAUAAAUAAAACAGAACAAGCAGCUUUCCAUCCCAAUACCUGCCUGGCCAUUGCUUAUAAGUGAUCAGCACCAAUUGAUUGCUGCUGCUCUCAUGUAUAGCUUGCAUUGCUGAUAUUUCUUCUAACAUUCUAACAUCUUCUAAUAUAACGAUAAGUUACUUUGUCCUGAAUCCCACUGAUAGAAAAGGAAUUUGUAAACGAAUGCAGAAGUUUGCUUUGGUGAAUUUCCAGCUGUCCUGGUAGGGGAAAAAAACCCUCAGGCUGAAUGAAAUCCCCACGGACAGAAUAAUACAAAAAGUCUGGGCUGCAAUUUGAUACCAGCUGAACACCAGAGUCAGCUCCCCUAAAGUUAACACUGGUAACAAACUACUGCAACCGGAAAAAAAAUCCUAUCUAUAUGGUGCUCAUUAUUGGCAGGAAGGCUUUCAAUAGUCGUACUAUAAAAAGAAUUAGCAGAAAUAUGCAGCCAUUAGUAUUAUAACCAGUCAAUUUUGGAGAAUGCAUGUUAUAUUUCAGACAGCCUUGAUGCUGUAUGAAUUUUAAAUAUAUAAAUAAUUAUUACCUUUUCCAUUGCUCCUUCAAUAAUCAAUAGAAGUCCUAUUGGGAAGAGCUGGUCACAUAGAAUUAGCGUGACCGUACCUAUACUGGCUGUCUUAAAGCCUAGGAAGCAAGAACUAUCACUGUCACUUCCCUUACUCUCCCAUCAAAGCUUAUGUAUUUUGACUAAAAGUAUUAUUGCUUUUUCAGUUGUAUAUAUACUUCUAGGUUGCUCGCUCUCUCCUCCUUUCUUUCACCAAAGAUUACUUUUAGGAUUAAACUAGUGGAUUUUAAUCCAUUAGUCUUAGUAGAAGGAAGUUUUGCUCUCGUUCUGCUUUAAAGUGAAAUUACAAGACAGUUAAAUGUAAUUAUUAAUAGCAAAUCUGAAGACACAGGAAGAAAUUAAAAUAAUGGAAUCAGAUUCAGACUUGCAUUAAUAUUUCUGAAUCUUUAAGUCUGAUUGCUGUUUUAGGCAUAGCAAACCUGAAAAGUUUUGUGACAGAUUUUGUUUAAGCAGUAGGAAAAUGGCUUUCAAGUCGCAUCGAGAAACUUGCUCAGUUAUGCUUUCAAGGGUAAAAUGAUCGCUUGCAAAUUUUUUUUUAGUCUGUUGCUUAUUUGCAUAGCCACUUAUUAUUUUUUUUUAUAAUUCUGAUCUAGAAAUUAAGAAAGUAUUGUUAUCCAGUCAGUAAUAAUCUUUUAAUGAAAGCAGCGUUAAAGAUAGCUUGUGUCAGCUUCUGCUAUGUAAGCAAGGACAAUGAAAACAUAUGGAACCAGUGUUUCUCUUAUCUCUAGUCUGCUAUUUGCAUUAAUCUUUAUUUUAAAUGACCUUUCUGGAUUUAGGAAGUGAUUCCCCUCCCAUACACCCAUGACUCUUCAAAGUUACAUUUUUAGACUGUAAGGCUGAGAUCUAGGAGGCCCCCUUGGCUUGGGGCUUGGAAAGGGAGGGGAGGGGGGAUUGCAGUGCGCAAAGCAGCAGAUAGAGAAAGAAAGCCUGCAUUGUUAGCAAUGAAUAAGGAAGUAUAACUACUUCGGCUCAGUAAGCAAAACAUUUUCAAAGUGAAUUAAGUGAUUCUCUGAUUCUUAAAAUAGUGCUGUUUUAGAUGAAACAAAUUCUAGUUGAUCAUAAUCAUAGCAGAUUUCCACAGUUAUAAAAAAUAGGUUUUAAACAUGCAUGCCAAUAAAGACAAGAUAGCUGCGUACAAUUUUUUCAUGACUUUUUGCAAUGACUUUUUGAUUACUUUUUGCAAUGACUAAAAAAAAAUAUUAGCAAAUAUUAGCAAGUUGAAUACAUGCUAAAUCACGGAGAGAGUUUUGUGCAAUCAGGAUACCAGUGCUUAAACCCGUUAUGUGAGUUAAAAGAUAUGAUUCUUGUUAUCACAGAAUGCCAAAAAAAAAAAGGCAAAUUAAAGCCAGUAUGAACAUUUAAAGAGGUCAGAGUUUCAAUAUAAUGGAUCUUCUUUCAUCUUUGGAGGGGCAUAAUUUUUUAGUACAAUCAACAAAAUUAAAUAGGUAAGAGGGAGAAAAAUAUUUCUAGCUUCUUUUUUUUUUAUAUAUUCCUUAAACGUUUAAAAUAAGUGAAGCAGCGCAGGGGGAAGUCACCCAACUUUAAAGAAAUAUAGAGCAAAUAAGCAACCAAAAGGCAAGAAAAAAUUCUUUAAAAAAGGCAUUUACCAUUUUUCAGCCUUGCCAUUAGGUUGCACGUUGUCUUCUGUAUUACAAUUACCAGUGCAAUUAAACGCAUCUAUAUUUCCAGAAGACUAAAAGACGCUGCUCUCUUCUCCAUACUCCUUGCCCCUCUUCCUGUACCAUCACUGUGCAUCCACAGACACUUCUGCAGACCACCCAAGUAUGACUGCUAGGUAGAAAAUAUAAUUAGAAUAGUGAAAUUCUUACAAACAAUUCCAAGCUCCUAAAUAGUGUUAAACGAUGUGAUUUUUAUCUGUAAAUCAAAAGAUAUUAAACAGAUUGGAAAAUAAAAUUGUAAAUCUUAGGCUUUUUUUUUUUUCUAAGUGUUAUCAAGGGCAUAAAUUAACUUUUACUUGCAGAAGGCUUUGCUUCCUGAACUGCACUUCAUUUUAACAAAAACUAAAAUAAUACUAAGGAUCAGGCUUAAAGCUACUAAAACACAGGAAAUACCAGAGUUAAGAAACUUUCCUGAAUAAUGCUACUGUACUUCUGUGCUGCGUUUUAUGCUGCACUGCAAAACAGUAUCUAAAAAUAACAACUUCCCCUUAAAUAAGAAGUCCUGAUCACAGCUAGAGAGAAUAUAAUCCUCAAUUUAAAAUCCAAGCUACCAAUAUUUAAAGCCGGGUCCUUAAGAUAGGUUUCUGGAAAUAUUACAUUGGAAUUUGUUACAAGUAUUCUAAAAUAUUCAUAAGCCCUCUACCGACUUAACGAAUAAAUGAAAUAAAAAACACAAACAUUUAGCCCUUUUAUCAAAUCAACUAAAAUACCAACUUUAAAGGAAUAUCAGCUUUUAAAUAAAGAACAGGUAGAGAUACCUUAGUAGUACCCAAUGAAUUAAUUGAAGGCAAAAUAAAUUUGCCUCAGCUAAGAACGUAAAGCCACUUGCUGCUUCCCUGAUGAAUUUUCUUUGUGUACAGUUAUUAGAAAGACCGCUCAAGCUUUCCACUUACAACUUGUACUCCCAGCACAAGUUUCCUGAUAACAGUUAAUAGAAAAACCUGUUAAUUAUUAACGCAUAUUUUCAUUCUCCCCAUCUUGUUAUACAAUAGUUUGCCACUGAUUUUUACUGUACCACUAUUUGUUGUUUCAAAGAUCCAUAAUGGAUAAACUGAGAGCUAAUUUUUCUCCCAAAUUAAAUUUGAUGAAACCUAUAAAAGAAGCACUGUCUUAUUUUUGCUUUAAAGGUACUUCUAUUUGUCACUUUUUUCUUUAAAAUGGUCAUGUGGGUAGGAAGAUGUGCCAACUUAAAGCAUACACUGGUAUUUCUGUAGUUCUAAGUAAAAUUUUAAUCAAGCAUGUUACAAAAUCCAAGGAAGCAUAUUUCAUGCCUUGGAAAUAAUUUAUAAUGUCUGCAUUAGCUAGCCAUGUUUUGCGUUUGAUUAAUUUUUUAAGAUAUGUUCUUCUAUCUUGUUAGUUUCUUUGAAAAUUGAUAUAAUUUAGUCACAUAAUUGAUAUCCUUAAUUUGCAUACUUGAGAUUGUAUAUUAGCCAAAAUGUCUUUUUCUUUAGGGCAAAAUAAUGAUUGGAGCUAGAGCACCAAAAUAACUGCUUAUUAAUUUAUUACUGGACUAAUUUAAACCUCAGCACUAUCCACAGCAUCAGCCCUUUGGUAAAUUCAUCCCUUCUAUAACCAGCUCUCAGGCUAGAACUUAAAAAGCGUUUUGCUACUAUUCCGUAAAGGAUAUGCUUGAGAAGGAUUUGAAAGCACAAAUUUGUUGUUUACCUAUGGUGGCACUAGUGAGCAACGGAGAUUUAAGAACACCAUUAUAAAACAGAAUCAUUUAAUAUGUAGAAAAAAGCAGUACAACUGUUUCUUAUCCACCCCUUUUAUGCUUCCAAUGUGCUUAUACCUUUUGAAACAGCCUCAUGAUAGUGUAAACGUCAUUGCAAAAUUGGAUUGCAUUUACUGUGUGUAUCCUGUACAGAGCAAAGUUUAGCAAAAUACCACGUCUUGUGAUGUAAAAUGAUACUAUUUGCAUGCACUGUUUUUCUAAUAUUUAACUGAAAAACUUAUUGAACCUCUACAAACGUUUCCUUAUAAAGCAUGGAUUCUGAGAGAAAGCUAGAUUGAAAUAAUAUGCAAAGCAAAAUGCUAAAGAAAUAUGUCGUGAUAAGUGUAUAGCUCUCCCAUUUUAGCAAAAUUGAUAUAAAACGCAACCGGUUUUCUUUCCAGCACAUUCCCCUUAACUGGGUUAAUGUGCAAAAUUUUGUCUCCAUUUACACAGAUUUUUAUUUAUUUUUAACAUGCAAGAUUAUUGUACUUAUCUGCUCCUAGAAAAUAUGUACUGUAUAAACAUAUCCUUUAUCUUGAACUUCAGUAUUUCUGUGCUUCCAAGAAGAGUAAAAACAUCUGGUUAAAUUACUAUGUGUGAGUCCAGUAUGCAGGCAGACUCCUGUACAAGCUGCACAGAAAAUAAACCUCGGUCUCGAUUCUUUUUGUUUUCACAAAUGUUCAGUGUGACCACUCUGUUGAAAUCACUUCUGAUACAUGUCAGCACGAUGCCAACCAAUGUACUGAGAUGCUUAUUUUCCGAAUAAAAUCGAACUAUGUUCUUGUCCUACA